AAUGAAUAAAUUGCUCAUGGAGGAGAACGAUAGGUUGCAGAAACAAGUGUCUCAACUGGUGUAUGAAAAUGGUUAUUUUCGUCAACACACUCAAAAUACUACACAGGGAACCAAAGACACAAGUUGUGAAUCAGCGGUGACGAGUGGUCAGCAUAGUUUAACAUCUGUGUAAUUGGUUUUAUUCUUAACUG
RNAcentral lists this small RNA (191 nucleotides) under Vigna angularis var. angularis. RNAcentral's name for it is "Non-protein coding transcript". Lineage: Eukaryota; Viridiplantae; Streptophyta; Magnoliopsida; Fabales; Fabaceae. The record is from RNAcentral.